GUUAAGCGACUAAGCGUACACGGUGGAUGCCCUGGCAGUCAGAGGCGAUGAAGGACGUGCUAAUCUGCGAUAAGCGUCGGUGAGGUGAUAUGAACCGUUAUAACCGGCGAUUUCCGAAUGGGGAAACCCAGUGUGUUUCGACACACUAUCAUUAACUGAAUCCAUAGGUUAAUGAGGCGAACCGGGGGAACUGAAACAUCUAAGUACCCCGAGGAAAAGAAAUCAACCGAGAUUCCCCCAGUAGCGGCGAGCGAACGGGGAGGAGCCCAGAGCCUGAAUCAGUGUGUGUGUUAGUGGAAGCGUCUGGAAAGGCGCGCGAUACAGGGUGACAGCCCCGUACACAAAAAUGCACAUGCUGUGAGCUCGAUGAGUAGGGCGGGACACGUGGUAUCCUGUCUGAAUAUGGGGGGACCAUCCUCCAAGGCUAAAUACUCCUGACUGACCGAUAGUGAACCAGUACCGUGAGGGAAAGGCGAAAAGAACCCCGGCGAGGGGAGUGAAAAAGAACCUGAAACCGUGUACGUACAAGCAGUGGGAGCCUCUUAAUGGGGUGACUGCGUACCUUUUGUAUAAUGGGUCAGCGACUUAUAUUCUGUAGCAAGGUUAACCGAAUAGGGGAGCCGAAGGGAAACCGAGUCUUAACUGGGCGUUAAGUUGCAGGGUAUAGACCCGAAACCCGGUGAUCUAGCCAUGGGCAGGUUGAAGGUUGGGUAACACUAACUGGAGGACCGAACCGACUAAUGUUGAAAAAUUAGCGGAUGACUUGUGGCUGGGGGUGAAAGGCCAAUCAAACCGGGAGAUAGCUGGUUCUCCCCGAAAGCUAUUUAGGUAGCGCCUCGUGAAUUCAUCUCCGGGGGUAGAGCACUGUUUCGGCAAGGGGGUCAUCCCGACUUACCAACCCGAUGCAAACUGCGAAUACCGGAGAAUGUUAUCACGGGAGACACACGGCGGGUGCUAACGUCCGUCGUGAAGAGGGAAACAACCCAGACCGCCAGCUAAGGUCCCAAAGUCAUGGUUAAGUGGGAAACGAUGUGGGAAGGCCCAGACAGCCAGGAUGUUGGCUUAGAAGCAGCCAUCAUUUAAAGAAAGCGUAAUAGCUCACUGGUCGAGUCGGCCUGCGCGGAAGAUGUAACGGGGCUAAACCAUGCACCGAAGCUGCGGCAGCGACACUAUGUGUUGUUGGGUAGGGGAGCGUUCUGUAAGCCUGUGAAGGUGGCCUGUGAGGGUUGCUGGAGGUAUCAGAAGUGCGAAUGCUGACAUAAGUAACGAUAAAGCGGGUGAAAAGCCCGCUCGCCGGAAGACCAAGGGUUCCUGUCCAACGUUAAUCGGGGCAGGGUGAGUCGACCCCUAAGGCGAGGCCGAAAGGCGUAGUCGAUGGGAAACAGGUUAAUAUUCCUGUACUUGGUGUUACUGCGAAGGGGGGACGGAGAAGGCUAUGUUGGCCGGGCGACGGUUGUCCCGGUUUAAGCGUGUAGGCUGGUUUUCCAGGCAAAUCCGGAAAACCAAGGCUGA
Molecule: ribosomal RNA, 1512 nt
Filed under: Escherichia coli
Lineage: Bacteria; Pseudomonadati; Pseudomonadota; Gammaproteobacteria; Enterobacterales; Enterobacteriaceae
Description: partial 23S ribosomal RNA
Rfam family: Bacterial large subunit ribosomal RNA
Source: RNAcentral